Molecule: ribosomal RNA, 254 nt
Filed under: uncultured bacterium
Lineage: Bacteria
Description: partial 16S ribosomal RNA
Rfam family: Bacterial small subunit ribosomal RNA
Source: RNAcentral
UACGUAGGGUGCAAGCGUUGUCCGGAAUUAUUGGGCGUAAAGAGCUCGUAGGCGGCCUGUCGCGUCGGAUGUGAAAAUCCAAGGCUCAACCUUGGACCUGCAUUCGAUACGGGCAUCACUGGAGUUCGGCAGGGGAGACUGGAAUUCCUGGUGUAGCGGUGAAAUGCGCAGAUAUCAGGAGGAACACCGGUGGCGAAGGCGGGUCUCUGGGCCGAUACUGACGCUGAGGAGCGAAAGCGUGGGGAGCGAACAGG